UACAGAGGGGGCAAGCGUUGUUCGGAAUUACUGGGCGUAAAGGGCGCGUAGGCGGCCUUCUAAGUCGAACGUGAAAUCCCUGGGCUCAACCCAGGAGCUGCGUCCGAUACUGGAAGGCUUGAAUCCGGGAGAGGGAUGCGGAAUUCCAGGUGUAGCGGUGAAAUGCGUAGAUAUCAGGAGGAACACCUGUGGUGUAGACGGCUUACUGGACCAUGACUGACGCUGAGGCACGAAAGCGUGGGGAGCAAACAGG
RNAcentral lists this ribosomal RNA (253 nucleotides) under uncultured bacterium. Its description in RNAcentral is "partial 16S ribosomal RNA". It matches the Rfam family "Bacterial small subunit ribosomal RNA", at positions 524 to 776 of the family's 1533-position model. The record is from RNAcentral.